GUGGGGAAUAUUGGUCAAUGGACGAGAGUCUGAACCAGCCAAGUAGCGUGCAGGAUGACGGCCCUAUGGGUUGUAAACUGCUUUUAUAUAGGGAUAAAGUCGGGGACGUGUCCCCGUUUGUAGGUACUAUAUGAAUAAGGACCGGCUAAUUCCGUGCCAGCAGCCGCGGUAAUACGGAAGGUCCGGGCGUUAUCCGGAUUUAUUGGGUUUAAAGGGAGCGCAGGCUGAUGAUUAAGCGUGACGUGAAAUGUAGCCGCUCAACGGCUGAACUGCGUCGCGAACUGGUUAUCUUGAGUGAGUUCGAUGUUGGCGGAAUUCGUGGUGUAGCGGUGAAAUGCUUAGAUAUCACGAAGAACUCCGAUUGCGAAGGCAGCCAACAAGGCCUUUACUGACGCUAAAGCUCGAAGGUGCGGGUAUCGAACAGG
Molecule: ribosomal RNA, 425 nt
Filed under: uncultured rumen bacterium
Lineage: Bacteria
Description: bacterial SSU rRNA
Rfam family: Bacterial small subunit ribosomal RNA
Source: RNAcentral